CAGUAGCCGCGGGAAUACGUAGGUCGCAAGCGUUAUCCGGAAUUAUUGGGCGUAAAGAGCUCGUAGGCGGUUUGUCGCGUCUGCCGUGAAAGUCCGGGGCUCAACCCCGGAUCUGCGGUGGGUACGGGCAGACUAGAGUGAUGUAGGGGAGACUGGAAUUCCUGGUGUAGCGGUGAAAUGCGCAGAUAUCAGGAGGAACACCGAUGGCGAAGGCAGGUCUCUGGGCAUUAACUGACGCUGAGGAGCGAAAGCAUGGGGAGCGAACAGGAUUAGAGACCCGUGUAGUCCCUGUCUCUUAUAA
Molecule: ribosomal RNA, 301 nt
Filed under: uncultured bacterium
Lineage: Bacteria
Description: partial 16S ribosomal RNA
Rfam family: Bacterial small subunit ribosomal RNA
Source: RNAcentral